CGUAGGGGGCAAACGUUGUCCGGAUUUACUGGGUGUAAAGGGUGCUCAGGCGGUUUUGUAAGUCAGAAGUGAAAUCCUAGGGCUUAACUCUGGAACUGCUUUUGAUACUGCAAGGCUUGAAUAUGGAAGAGGAGGGCGGAAUUUCUGGUGUAGCAGUGAAAUGCGUAGAUAUCAGAAAGAACACCAGUGGCGAAGGCGGCCCUCUGGUCCAUUAUUGACGCUAAAGCACGAAAGCGUGGGGAGCAAACAGGAUUAGAUACCCUGGUAGUCCACGCCUUAAACGACGAAUACUAGACGUUGGGGUUAAACUCAGUGUCGCAGCUAACGCAUUAAGUAUUCCACCUGGGGAGUACGAUCGCAAGGUUG
This 366-nucleotide ribosomal RNA is filed under the name uncultured organism. RNAcentral's name for it is "bacterial SSU rRNA". It matches the Rfam family "Bacterial small subunit ribosomal RNA", at positions 526 to 896 of the family's 1533-position model. The record is from RNAcentral.